This 371-nucleotide ribosomal RNA is filed under the name uncultured organism. RNAcentral's name for it is "bacterial SSU rRNA". It matches the Rfam family "Bacterial small subunit ribosomal RNA", at positions 526 to 896 of the family's 1533-position model. The record is from RNAcentral.
CGGAGGGUGCAAGCGUUAAUCGGAAUUACUGGGCGUAAAGCGCACGCAGGCGGUCUGUCAAGUCGGAUGUGAAAUCCCCGGGCUCAACCUGGGAACUGCAUUCGAAACUGGCAGGCUAGAGUCUUGUAGAGGGGGGUAGAAUUCCAGGUGUAGCGGUGAAAUGCGUAGAGAUCUGGAGGAAUACCGGUGGCGAAGGCGGCCCCCUGGACAAAGACUGACGCUCAGGUGCGAAAGCGUGGGGAGCAAACAGGAUUAGAUACCCUGGUAGUCCACGCCGUAAACGAUGUCGACUUGGAGGUUGUUCCCUUGAGGAGUGGCUUCCGGAGCUAACGCGUUAAGUCGACCGCCUGGGGAGUACGGCCGCAAGGUUA